RNAcentral lists this long non-coding RNA (1087 nucleotides) under Triticum aestivum (bread wheat). RNAcentral describes it as "long non-coding RNA (TAES_LNC013461)". Lineage: Eukaryota; Viridiplantae; Streptophyta; Magnoliopsida; Poales; Poaceae. The record is from RNAcentral.
GAUCAGCCAUCUAACUCCAAUACCAUGCACCAAUGCUUGGAACUCAUGCAAGUGUCAUACUCGCAUUACCAAAUCAGGCUACGAAGACAAGUCUUCGUGCGCACAUGUAUGACCUUACCGCUCUCGUCGUUGUUAUUAUUUUCUAAAGAAAAAACUACUGUCAUUAGGCUCUAAAUUUGCAAAGUAACUAGACAACAAAUACAUAUUGUAUCAGAGUUUUCCAAAGAUUUUUGUGGUCUCUGCAAUGUUGUUUGCAGGGAUUGCAAAAGAGUGGCAUUUAAAAGGCAGCUGGCAUUUGAUGAAUUGCUGAAUGGUGGUGGUUGCACACCAUGGGGGACAGUGUUCCAAGAGAGGUCUCAAAGAUGGUUAGAGAUUAGGUACUGACAUAAAAUCUAUCAAUCCUAUCUUCAUGUACAUGUGUGUGUUAGGUACAUCUAAUUAAUCUGUUCUUCUGAUUUAGGGAGGUCAUCUGAAUCUGAGACGAUGUAAAAUUUAUUUUCCUAUUCUUGGAAACUCUUGCGUUGGAGAAUCAUGACGUUCUUCUCAUUGUUACAGGCAGUCCAACGUCAAACAUGAUUGUGCUGAUGUCUGGGUUUCGGCUUGGUGGUGAGGUGCUUGAGGUCACGGCUCUGCGUCAGGAACCUCCUCUUGAGCGGGCUUGUACUUCAUGGUGGUGAGGUCUAUCUUGAUGGUAGACCAGUUGGUUGAUUAAAUGCCAGUAGGAGCAGCUCAGUGAACCACUGAUGUAGUCUCACUGUGCAUCAGUAUUGUUGACCUCAACUUGUCUAUUCAUAUGAUCCAUGUAUCGUAUUUAGUUUCUCUCUAAGACUUGGUAUGCCUGUGUUCUGGUGAUCCGAGGAACUCUGCCUCUCUUUUGGAGAUCAUCCACCUUUUGGAGACUGUUAAACCUUGAUUUGAAAAUCUGGAUGUGUCUAUGACGAGUCAUCCACCUUGUAAGAUUGUCAUCUAUCUGUUACUCCCUCCGUACAAAGUUGAGUCAUCUAUUUUGGAACGGAGGGAGUACCUAUUAGCAUCGAUCAAACUAUUUCUCUUGCUCUGCUUUAUGAAUAAACACUCUUCUGCUGCA